This 482-nucleotide ribosomal RNA is filed under the name uncultured bacterium. RNAcentral describes it as "partial 16S ribosomal RNA". It matches the Rfam family "Bacterial small subunit ribosomal RNA", at positions 30 to 507 of the family's 1533-position model. The record is from RNAcentral.
AUUGAACGCUGGCGGCAUGAUUUACACAUGCAAGUCGAACGGUAACAGGCCGCAAGGUGCUGACGAGUGGCGAACGGGUGAGUAAUGCAUUGGAACGUGCCCAGUCGUGGGGGAUAACUACUCGAAAGAGUAGCUAAUACCGCAUACGAUCUAUGGAUGAAAGCGGGGGACCGUAAGGCCUCGCGCGAUUGGAGCGGCCGAUGUCAGAUUAGGUAGUUGGUGGGGUAAAGGCUCACCAAGCCAACGAUCUGUAGCUGGUCUGAGAGGACGACCAGCCACACUGGGACUGAGACACGGCCCAGACUCCUACGGGAGGCAGCAGUGGGGAAUUUUGGACAAUGGGCGCAAGCCUGAUCCAGCAAUGCCGCGUGCAGGAAGAAGGCCUUCGGGUUGUAAACUGCUUUUGUACGGAACGAAACGGCUCUGGUUAAUACCCGGGGCUAAUGACGGUACCGUAAGAAUAAGCACCGGCUAACUACGUG